CCUACGGGUGGCAGCAGUGGGGAAUAUUGGACAAUGGGCGAAAGCCUGAUCCAGCCAUGCCGCGUGUGUGAAGAAGGCCUUCGGGUUGUAAAGCACUUUCAGUGGGGAAGAAAGCCUUGGGGCUAAUACCCUCGAGGAAGGACAUCACCCACAGAAGAAGCACCGGCUAACUCCGUGCCAGCAGCCGCGGUAAUACGGAGGGUGCGAGCGUUAAUCGGAAUUACUGGGCGUAAAGCGCGCGUAGGCGGUCUGAUAAGCCGGUUGUGAAAGCCCCGGGCUCAACCUGGGAACGGCAUCCGGAACUGUCGGGCUAGAGUGCAGGAGAGGAAGGUAGAAUUCCCGGUGUAGCGGUGAAAUGCGUAGAGAUCGGGAGGAAUACCAGUGGCGAAGGCGGCCUUCUGGACUGACACUGACGCUGAGGUGCGAAAGCGUGGGUAGCAAACAGGAUUAGAUACCCGUGUAGUC
Molecule: ribosomal RNA, 465 nt
Filed under: Vreelandella stevensii
Lineage: Bacteria; Pseudomonadati; Pseudomonadota; Gammaproteobacteria; Oceanospirillales; Halomonadaceae
Description: partial 16S ribosomal RNA
Rfam family: Bacterial small subunit ribosomal RNA
Source: RNAcentral